Molecule: long non-coding RNA, 211 nt
Filed under: Gossypium raimondii (Peruvian cotton)
Lineage: Eukaryota; Viridiplantae; Streptophyta; Magnoliopsida; Malvales; Malvaceae
Description: long non-coding RNA (GRAI_LNC003567)
Source: RNAcentral
UGGUUCGAGAGUCAUUUUUGGAAGGAGAAAUCUCUUAUACAAAAAUAGAGGGUAGCGGUUGCGACAAGGACGGAGACGUAAAGGGAAAGACGAAGGCAAUUCUUCCUAGUCACUGGAAGACAUUUUGUAGUCGAAGUUGUGGGCUGGAUAGGAAAAAGCUAUCUUCCUGAGUUCCACCUUUAAUUCAUUAUUUUCUGUUCGUUGAUUUGAU